Molecule: long non-coding RNA, 443 nt
Filed under: Ananas comosus (pineapple)
Lineage: Eukaryota; Viridiplantae; Streptophyta; Magnoliopsida; Poales; Bromeliaceae
Description: long non-coding RNA (ACOM_LNC013678)
Source: RNAcentral
AACGGCUUUACUCAAUAAUGCUUCUUAUUUUUUAUAUAUAUUUCUUCAACUUUGUCUUUUUUUUUUAAUUUCUCUUUUUUUUCUUCAUCUCUUUCUUCUUCUUCUUCUGUCACUGUGUUCUUUUUCUCCUCCUCCAUUUUUCCUCUUCUUCUCCUCUUUCGGUCUUCUAAUUCUCUUUCCUACCUUUUCUUCUUAUUUCUACUUAUUACUUCUUGUUCUUCUUUUUUCCUCUUUGUUCUUUCUCGUCUUCCUCUUUUUCCUUUUCUUUCUUCUUCUUCUAAUUUUCCUUACUAUAUUUAUACUUACGAUCACUAUUACUUUUUCUCUUUAUUUUUUUCUUACUUCUUCUUCACUCUUUAUUGAUUAAACAAAAAAGAUAAAAUCAACAAAAAUACAUGAAUUCUAAACUCUAAAUAAUUUUAAGCUCUCUCCGCGAUUUCGGA